GUUGGCCACAAGCCUUUGUGGGGAAGGACUUCUAGGGGCAGGUUUCCAGCAGCCUCUGAUCUCCAGAUAACUUGACCGGGCCAGUCACAUAGUGAAUGAAAUCAUUUUGGGCCCUUCCCCCAUCAGACACUUUUCCAGGAAAUAGCUUUUUGCUGCCAUGACCUCUUUUGCUGCUGUUUGAUAUCCUUGAUAUGAAAAAUGUGAAUGGAGACGAGCACCCCAUUAACCAGCAGCUCUUAGGCAGCAUUGCUUGUUGGAGGUAUCUUUUCACAGAGGUGAGCCGGCAGCGCCCUGGGCAUUAUGGGAGCAUCCUGAAGAUGCCAUUUGGAGUAGCUACUUUGAGGACAAGAGACAAAAAGCCUGAGGAGAAAGUCACCAUGAAGGAAACAGAAAGAUUAAACAGCAUGCGUGAUCUUUGAUUCAGAGUCCCCAUCUCACCCUGGACUGCCUUCCUUUGGAAUUCCCUUGUGGAAAAAAAAAUUAAACUCUUAUUUGGUUAAAUAAUUUUCUGGAGGCCAGAAGCCUGACAUCAGUUUCACAGAGUCAAAAUCAAGGUGUUGGCAGGAUACUCUACAGUCCCUCUGGAGACUUUAGGUGAGAAUCCAUUCUUUGCUUUUUCCUGGUGGCUGCUGGCAUUCCUUUGCUUGUGGCUGUGCCAUUUGAAGGCCAAUAUCUUCAAGUGUCUCGAUGCUAUGUCUUCACAUAGCCUUCUCCUAUGGGUGUCUCCUCCACUCUGUGUCAAAUAUCCAUGUAAAAAGGUUGCCUGUGAUGGCAUUUACAGCCUACCUGAAUAACUCAGGACAAUCUUCCCAACUCAAGAUCCUUAUCUUAAAACAACCCUUUUUCCAAGUAAGAUAAUACUCACAAGUUCUAAGGAUUAGGACCAGAUUCUUUUGGGGACCAUUUUUCAGGCUUCCACAAUACUUAAUGUUCUCCCACCACCAAAGAAAAUCUGUCUCUUUUAUUUUCUUUAUUUUGAUGGUUAUGAACGUAAUUCAAGUUUCUUAUCAAAAAGUGUCU
This 1020-nucleotide long non-coding RNA is filed under the name Homo sapiens (human). Its description in RNAcentral is "HSALNT0165951". Lineage: Eukaryota; Metazoa; Chordata; Mammalia; Primates; Hominidae. The record is from RNAcentral.